GGUAACUCGGCCAAUAAACCAAGAUGGCCGCCAUGGCUAAAAAUAGAACAUGGGGGUAAAAUGCAGUUUUUGGCUUAUAACUCAAAAACCAAAUCAUUAAGAGCAAAUCUGACAGGAAGUAAAAUUGUUGAUCAGGUCACAAUCUAUCUGCCCUGGAAUUUUCAGAUGAAUCGGAUAAUCGGUUGUUAGGUUGCUGCCCCUGAAUUGGUAAUUUUGAGGAAAUUUUGCUGUUUUUUUUGUUAUUAUCUUGAAUAUUAUUAUAGAUAGAGAUAAACUGUAAACAGCAAUAAUGUACAGCAAAGUAAGAACUAAAAAUAAGUCAGCAUGACCAAAAUAGUCAAUUGACCCCCUAAGGAGUUAUUGCCCUUCAUAGUCAAUUUUUAACAAUUUUCUUAAAAUUUGAUGAUUUUUCAAUACAUUUUCCACAGAAAGUACUGUUAUAGAUAGAGGUAAUUGUAAGCAGCAAGAAUGUUUAGUAAAGUAAGAUCUACAAACACAUCACCAUUACUAAAACACAAUUUUGUCACGAAUCCAUCUGUGUCCAUUGUUUAAUAUUCACAUAGACCAAGGUGAGCGACACAGGCUCUUUAGAGCCUCUAGUUUUGAUAUAUUUUCUCAUGAUACAAUAUUUUAUUUUUGUAGCAAAACACGGACCCCAAAUAUAGGUACAAUCUAAAAUCUGCUUUAACUGGGGAUUUUGGUUAUUUUUAAAACUUUAAGCAUAACUUUUACAACUCUCUUAGUUAUUGACUUCUGAUAUAAUAUGUAUAUAAGAGUUCACAAAGUCAAACCAGUUAAUACAUGUAAAUUGUCAUGACUUAAUUUGCUGUCUUCAAACUGUCAGAUAUAGAGUUGUCAAAACUGCAUUGGGUGAAUGAAACUGUAUGAAUUGACUUAUUACAUACACUGUAAACCAAUUCAUUUAUUUAAACUAUAUCUCAUUUGUAUUUGUCAGGCCCGUGGUAGAUGACUUUAUUAAGCUGUAUUAUUUUUCUAUUUUCUAUUUGUUGUUGUAUAUCCCUAUAGGAAAUCCAAGUUUGACAUAUUUUGAACAUUUUAAUUUUUCAUGAGAGAGUCAUGUAAAUAAAGUCUCUCAUAAAAAUAAGAUGGUUCAUAGAAAUUGUACAUAAUAAUUAAAUGGAAAAGAUGAUGUUACAGCUAAUAGUUUGUGCAUAUUCAAGUUAUAUUCCUGUUUCAAAAAGUCCUAUAGAAAUCUCGAAUUUGAUCUGAAAUUGAAGUUUAAUUUGAAUUAUUAUCUUUCCUGACAAUUUGUUUCUGCAAUAAAAAGCAAGGGUAAGAAAAUUGCAUACAAAACUAAUACAGUGAAAUCUGUGUAUAAAUGUCAAUGGUAAAACCAUAGAAAUCUGACCUAAUGCUAGAGGUGACCCUUGAAAUAUAUAUAUUAAUUUCUGUGUCAUGUGGUCUCUGUUGAAGAGUUGUCUCAUUUGCAAUCAUACCACAUCUUCUUUUUUAUACAUAAGUAUAACUUAAGGUGGUACCUAAAAUUAGUUUGGCUCGUUUAAUUUUCAUAAAAUUUUGACAAACAUUUACUUUGAUCCUUUGACAAAAAUAUAAAAAUUUCAAAAUCUUUGAACCAUACACUUUCUCGGAAAAUUUGCAUUGGAUAUAUAGCAGUUUGACAAUCAUGAAUUUUGAUUAUUGAGAAGCUUAAAUUUCCUUAACAAUACAAUGUGAUUAAAACGUUUACCUGAUUUUACAGAGUUAUCUCCCUGUAGUGUUAGGUACCACCUUAGUGGGGCACUAAGAAUUUAACCUGAGAAGACAGGUUUUAACUUAUUAGAGGUUACCAUUAUAUAUAAAAAGAAGAUGUGGUAUGAUUGCCAAUGGGACCACUGUCCACAAGAGACCAAAUGACAUAGAAAUUUACAACUAUAUGUCAAUGUAUGGCCUUCAACAAUGAGCAAAGCCCAUACUGCAUACACAUUUUCUCUGCUUUCAAACUGAUUUUGGUAAGGAUUAUGCUGAAAGUAAUGAAUAAGGAGACUUUACAAUCAAAAACAUAAUGAAAACGAUAUACUAUAUGAAAAAAGUAACAUAACAACAAAAAGACCUUGUCUAUGUGUUGGAACAAUAGGCUUCUAUCAUAGAGAUGAUUUUAUUUCUUAUUUUACUCUAGAACAACUUUUUUAGAGUUUGAUGUUUUUAAGUAUGAACAGUGGCGGAUCCAGAACUUUUCCUAAGGGGGGCUCCGCUUCAGUCAUGCUUCAAUGAUUCCCUAUAUAAUCAACCAAAUUUUUCCCACGAAAGGGGGGGGCUCGGCCCCCCUGGAUCCGCCUAUGAUGAACAAAGGGCAUUAUAUUUGUGUACAGAAAUGAAUAGAUUCAACACUGUUUAUGUACAACAUUUUGUUUUAUUUAUAUGAUUAAUCAAUUUCAUGUUAGAAAAAAAUGAUUAAAUAAAUUGAUUAGGUUUAAUUUAGGAUUGGAGUGAUUUUCAACAGAUGAUUUCUUUUCCAUUUAUAAAUGGCAACCUCAUGUUUUAUAAUUAGAUUUACUUCAAACCUCUCACAACAAGUUUACUUGUGAAAUACAAUCUUUUGGUGCUUAAAAACAUUGAAUUCUUUUUGAAAGAAAAGUUCUAGAACUCAAAUGUAUAAACAACUUUAUUGUAUAAAGUUUUUGCAUAACUAUAUAUAUAAAUAUAUAUUAUACAUGUAUAUGUAUGAAAUCCAUAGUAUUGAUUAUUUUUACUUUUAUAUUCAGAUUUGUUUAAUGUUAUUGCUAUUUAUCAUCUUUGAGGUGAUUGGUCAAAUUGUAUAUGAACAUAGUAUAAAGUUGUCACAUGUUUAGACGUGUAUAAUAAAAUUUUAAAAUUUGAUAUGGGGACAUGGAAAUCACAUUAUCAUCUUUAACGACAGACAAAAUAACUGAUCUGAAAUGUACACCAUCUAUUUGCCACUACCCUGGUAUACACCCUGUACUGUUUUACAACCCUCAUUAAAGCCACGAGUAAAGGCACUACAUCAACCACGAAAGCUAUAUUUUUAUGUAUCCUAACUGGUCUAGUAGUCCAGGGCACUGGGCACUGUGCAUGCAGUGUUGCCACAAUGUCAAAGAAGCAAGGGUUUGAAUCCAGCAGAGGGAAGAAAAAAGUUGGCUAACACGAACAAUGGGCAUAAUUCUCCCGACUCAAAUUUUCUCCUAUUGAAAUUGAAGUUUUUUAUUUUAAUUGUUUAAAAUAAAAGAAAUAUUCUGAAAAUAUUUUAUACUAAAAAAAGAAUUUCAGUUUAUGUUCCAAACAGAAUAAAGGUAUAGAAUAUUUGAACAGAAUUAUAGCAUUGUUUUUGGCAAAGUUUUCUUAAAAAAACCUGUUAUGUCAGAAGUCACAGCAAUCUCUGAAUAUGCUGAUCAGUUCUUAGCUUUAUAAAAUGUGGAAAACAUGCAAUCAUGGAUUUGAAUAAAAGUAAACGAGAGGUAUUAUGCAGUUGAAAAUCAAUGUUCUAUCUCCAAUAGAAAUACCGGGAUAAAUUUCUGAAACAACAUUUAUUUCGUGUUUUACCCUUUCAAGAACAAUUCGGGGCUUUUAAAUUUUGCGAUUUUUUUAAUUAACUUGCUGCAGUUUAAUAAGGCAAGAUCCUAGUCUAAUAUAUUCACGACAAUUUAUUCGCAACGACUUAUAUUCACGUUAUUUUUCUACCCACGAAAGUCACGAAAAUAAAUCCCUCGCGAAAAUAAAUUGGCUUACAGUACUUUUCAUGUAAGUAAAAGAUUCAUAUACGUCUCAGUCAAAUAUUUAUGGAACUGCUCUUUUUAAGUUUACUAGAAAUUUGUACUACUUUUACCAAAUGGCAAAUACAUAAGAUUCACACAACA
RNAcentral lists this long non-coding RNA (3833 nucleotides) under Mytilus galloprovincialis (Mediterranean mussel). The record is from RNAcentral. Lineage: Eukaryota; Metazoa; Mollusca; Bivalvia; Mytilida; Mytilidae.